GACGAACGCUGGCGGCGUGCUUAACACAUGCAAGUCGAACGAAGAGCGAUGGAAGCUUGCUUCUAUCAAUCUUAGUGGCGAACGGGUGAGUAACGCGUAAUCAACCUGCCCUUCAGAGGGGGACAACAGUUGGAAACGACUGCUAAUACCGCAUACGAUCUAAUCUCGGCAUCGAGGAUAGAUGAAAGGUGGCCUCUACAUGUAAGCUAUCACUAAAGGAGGGGAUUGCGUCUGAUUAGCUAGUUGGAGGGGUAACGGCCCACCAAGGCGAUGAUCAGUAGCCGGUCUGAGAGGAUGAACGGCCACAUUGGGACUGAGACACGGCCCAGACUCCUACGGGAGGCAGCAGUGGGGAAUCUUCCGCAAUGGACGAAAGUCUGACGGAGCAACGCCGCGUGAGUGAUGACGGCCUUCGGGUUGUAAAGCUCUGUUAAUCGGGACGAAAGGCCUUCUUGCGAAUAGUGAGAAGGAUUGACGGUACCGGAAUAGAAAGCCACGGCUAACUACGUG
This 510-nucleotide ribosomal RNA is filed under the name uncultured bacterium. RNAcentral describes it as "partial 16S ribosomal RNA". It matches the Rfam family "Bacterial small subunit ribosomal RNA", at positions 28 to 507 of the family's 1533-position model. The record is from RNAcentral.